GAGCGUCGUUUGCGACGCCCAACACACAAAACAAGCGGUGAAUGCUUUGGGGUGGGGUGACUGCGUACCUUUUGUAUAAUGGGUCAGCGACUUAUAUUCUGUAGCAAGGUUAACCGAAUAGGGGAGCCGGAGGGAAACCGAGUCUUAAUUGGGCGUUAAGUUGCAGGGUAUAGACCCGAAACCCGGUGAUCUAGCCAUGGGCAGGUUGAAGGUUGGGUAACACUAACUGGAGGACCGAACCGACUAAUGUUGAAAAAUUAGCGGAUGACCUGUGGCUGGGGGUGAAAGGCCAAUCAAACCGGGAGAUAGCUGGUUCUCCCCGAAAGCUAUUUAGGUAGCGCCUCGUGAAUUCAUCUCCGGGGGUAGAGCACUGUUUCGGCUAGGGGGCCAUCCCGGCUUACCAACCCGAUGCAAACUGCGAAUACCGGAGAAUGUUAUCACGGGAGACACACGGCGGGUGCUAACGUCCGUCGUGAAGAGGGAAACAACCCAGACCGCCAGCUAAGGUCCCAAAGUCAUGGUUAAGUGGGAAACGAUGUGGGAAGGCCCAGACAGCCAGGAUGUUGGCUUAGAAGCAGCCAUCAUUUAAAGAAAGCGUAAUAGCUCACUGGUCGAGUCGGCCUGCGCGGAAGAUGUAACGGGGCUAAACCAUGCACCGAAGCUGCGGCAGCGAACGUAUCACCCAAGACAACUUUACGGAGUUGACGAUUGACGGAGCGAAGCGACGUCAAAGCGUUCAUUAAAGUCGAGUUGGCUUAGGGAUACGUUCGUUGGGUAGGGGAGCGUUCUGUAAGCCUGUGAAGGUGUGUCGUGAGGCAUGCUGGAGGUAUCAGAAGUGCGAAUGCUGACAUAAGUAACGAUAAAGCGGGUGAAAAGCCCGCUCGCCGGAAGACCAAGGGUUCCUGUCCAACGUUAAUCGGGGCAGGGUGAGUCGACCCCUAAGGCGAGGCCGAAAGGCGUAGUCGAUGGGAAACGGGUUAAUAUUCCCGUACUUGGUGUUACUGCGAAGGGGGGACGGAGAAGGCUAUGUUGGCCGGGCGACGGUUGUCCCGGUUUAAGCGUGUAGGUGUGUGUUCCAGGUAAAUCCGGUUCACUUUAACACUGAGGCGUGAUGACGAGGCACUACGGUGCUGAAGCAACAAAUGCCCUGCUUCCAGGAAAAGCCUCUAAGCAUCAGGUAACAU
Molecule: ribosomal RNA, 1184 nt
Filed under: Salmonella enterica subsp. enterica
Lineage: Bacteria; Pseudomonadati; Pseudomonadota; Gammaproteobacteria; Enterobacterales; Enterobacteriaceae
Description: partial 23S ribosomal RNA
Rfam family: Bacterial large subunit ribosomal RNA
Source: RNAcentral